AUUUUUCAAAAUUUGAAAUCUUAUCCCAAAAUCCCACUCCCCAACUCUAAACCCUAAAACCUAAACUCUUAACCCUAAACCCUAAAUCCUAAAACCCCCUAAAUCCUAAACCCUAAACCCUAAAUCCUAAACUUCACCCCUUGACUCUAAACCCUAAACUCUAAACCCCACCCCUAAACUCUAAACCCUAAACCCUAAACCCUAAACCCCACCCCUUAACUCUAAACCCUAAUGUCUAAAUUAAUUUACCAUUGGAGUAUAAGUGUAUAAU
Molecule: long non-coding RNA, 271 nt
Filed under: Brassica napus (rape)
Lineage: Eukaryota; Viridiplantae; Streptophyta; Magnoliopsida; Brassicales; Brassicaceae
Description: long non-coding RNA (BNAP_LNC018360)
Source: RNAcentral